RNAcentral lists this ribosomal RNA (483 nucleotides) under uncultured bacterium. RNAcentral's name for it is "partial 16S ribosomal RNA". It matches the Rfam family "Bacterial small subunit ribosomal RNA", at positions 30 to 507 of the family's 1533-position model. The record is from RNAcentral.
UUGCACGCUGGCGGCAGGCCUAACACCUGCAAGUCGAGCGGAUGAAGGGAGCUUGCUCCUGGAUUCAGCGGCGGACGGGUGAGUAAUGCCUAGGAAUCUGCCUGGUAGUGGGGGAUAACGUCCGGAAACGGGCGCUAAUACCGCAUACGUCCUGAGGGAGAAAGUGGGGGAUCUUCGGGCCUCACGCUAUCAGAUGAGCCUAGGUCGGAUUAGCUAGUUGGUGGGGUAAAGGCCUACCAAGGCGACGAUCCGUAACUGGUCUGAGAGGAUGAUCAGUCACACUGGAACUGAGACACGGUCCAGACUCCUACGGGAGGCAGCAGUGGGGAAUAUUGGACAAUGGGCGAAAGCCUGAUCCAGCCAUGCCGCGUGUGUGAAGAAGGUCUUCGGAUUGUAAAGCACUUUAAGUUGGGAGGAAGGGCAGUAAGUUAAUACCUUGCUGUUUUGACGUUACCAACAGAAUAAGCACCGGCUAACUUCGUG